This is a long non-coding RNA of Megalops cyprinoides (Indo-Pacific tarpon), 250 nucleotides long. RefSeq lists it as uncharacterized. The transcript has 3 exons. The record is from RefSeq and is a predicted model, not a curated record. NCBI's taxonomy places the organism in Eukaryota, Metazoa, Chordata, Actinopteri, Elopiformes, Megalopidae.
GAAGAGGGCGGGGUUUCAGGGACCACUCCAGCCCAGCCACCCAAGGACCACUGUGACCUCCUUCUGGAUGCCAUCGAUGCCCAGCUCAGUCUCUUACAGGCCCAGAGUAAUGUUGUCAGAGCCAGACGGGAUGAUGGGAGCUGUGAAAGAACAAAUCAUGCCAGUACAGCACUCCUCAAUCUGAGCCAGUCUGCCAGCAAGGAUACUGGGCUUGGGAGCACCAUCCCCACCAAUGACACCCUCACCUCCC